RNAcentral lists this long non-coding RNA (1570 nucleotides) under Pelobates cultripes (western spadefoot toad). Lineage: Eukaryota; Metazoa; Chordata; Amphibia; Anura; Pelobatidae. The record is from RNAcentral.
AUAAGCAACUUACACCCUAAAUGGCAGUGAAUGAGGGGCUGCAACACAUGAGGAGGAUUUGCGAAUUGAGACAAUUCAUUCCUGGGAAUCACUGGUAAGACUACACCUUGUUCUAAAGAAGGAAGUUAUGGCAGUAAAAAAAGUGCAGAGGUGUCACGGCCCCCGGCUCGCCGCCAUGUGCGUCCGUGCCAGACCAGCACGACCGCACCAACUCACUGAGCUUACCUGCUCAGCGGCGAGCCGGGAACAGUUCCUCCACGCCGCUCGGGGGAAAUCCAAGAUGGCGCCGUCCAUGAGGUCGCGUCCAUCCAUGGCUCCACCCCCCGAAAUUAUACGAACAUGCGCGUGAUGUCACAACGUCAACACACACGCACGUUCUGGGGUCAGAGGUCAUCCUCUGACCAAUCAGGGCCUAGAGAGGGAUAUUUAAAUCCAUAAAUCACCCCAGUACCUUGCCCUGUCGUGGUUUCCUGUUCCUGGUUCCCUAGAGUGCGUUUAUCUUUGUUAAUAUUACUUCCUGGUAUCCUGAUCUUGGCUUUUCCCUGGUUAUUCCAAAUUCUGGUUCCCCUGACUUGGCUUGUUUAAACGGUAUCUGAGCAUUUCUGGCUUCCUUGACCUCAGCUUUCCCUUUGACCAUUCUCUAUCUCUAGCGUAUUAGUCAUUCUAAGGUCCGGUUUACACUCUGUCCUUUUAUUUCCUUUCCUUUUGUAUGUAUAUGUUUACAUAGUUUCUGCAUGUUGGACCACACUAGCAGCCAUGACAAGAGGUGAGCUAAAGAAAAGUUAACAAAUAUAAAUAUGUUUAGUUUGGAAAAAUGAUGGCUCAGAAAGGAUAUGACAGCAUUAUUUAAAUAUAUUCAGGGCCAAUACAAACGAAUAUCUGGAAAUCUAUUCAUAAACAGGACUAUACAUAGGACAAAAAGUAAUUAAUUUUUACUGGAAAAACUGAGAUUUAGUCUAAGACAUAGUCAUUUGACGAGAUCAUAGGAAUUCUAUAUAAACACUUGCCUAUUUUAAAGCUAGACCCUUGGCUUAACUUUAGUAUUCCUGACAAACCAAGGGUCACUUUUAGAAAGAGCAAAAAUCUGAAAAACAUCUUGGCUCCUUCCAAAUAUAGCCCUGAGGGCACUUUUGGGCCUAAGAAGGAACGUCUAGCAGGGAAUUUUAGAUGUGGGAGCCAUAGAUGUCUCACAUGUACAUAUGUGUCAUAAAACUACUCACUUUUGGUCUAUAAUGGGAGGAAAUUCAUUUCCCAUUAAUGAUAGGAUUACUUGUAACGCCUCUCUUGUUGUCUACCUUCUCACCUGCUACUGUGGCUUGCGAUAUGUUGGCCGAACUACAAGUGCUUUGAAAGUCAGGUUUUGGGAAAACAGAUAUGCCAUUUUACAUAAAGAUAAAAAAUCUUCGGUGGCACAACACUUUUCAUCUGUACACAAUAGUAAUCCCUUUGAGCUGUUAUGGGUAUUGAAUUAAUACCAAAAAUGAUUGAUGUUGCUAAAUGCAAAAGAGCCCUUAUAGGUGCUGAGUCUAAAUGGAUUUAUAAAUUAAAUACCUUAAGCCCCCAUGGGCUC